Molecule: ribosomal RNA, 495 nt
Filed under: Exiguobacterium indicum
Lineage: Bacteria; Bacillati; Bacillota; Bacilli; Caryophanales
Description: bacterial SSU rRNA
Rfam family: Bacterial small subunit ribosomal RNA
Source: RNAcentral
CCGGCAAUAGUUCGGUAUGGUAUGAGGACUCUUCGGAGGGAGGCAGUGGAAUGAGCGGCGGACGGGUGAGUAACACGUAAGGAACCUGCCUCAAGGAUUGGGAUAACUCCGAGAAAUCGGAGCUAAUACCGGAUAGUUCAUCGGACCGCAUGGUCCGUUGAUGAAAGGCGCUCCGGCGUCACCUUGAGAUGGCCUUGCGGUGCAUUAGCUAGUUGGUGGGGUAACGGCCCACCAAGGCGACGAUGCAUAGCCGACCUGAGAGGGUGAUCGGCCACACUGGGACUGAGACACGGCCCAGACUCCUACGGGAGGCAGCAGUAGGGAAUCUUCCACAAUGGACGAAAGUCUGAUGGAGCAACGCCGCGUGAGUGAUGAAGGUUUUCGGAUCGUAAAACUCUGUUGUAAGGGAAGAACACGUACGAGAGGGAAUGCUCGUACCUUGACGGUACCUUACGAGAAAGCCACGGCUAACUACGUGCCAGCAGCCGCGGUAAU